Molecule: long non-coding RNA, 2243 nt
Organism: Oryzias melastigma (Indian medaka)
Lineage: Eukaryota; Metazoa; Chordata; Actinopteri; Beloniformes; Adrianichthyidae
Exons: 2
Source: RefSeq, a predicted model, not a curated record
UGUCUCAUUACAGAAACACAUGUUUGAUUGCACUUUUGUAAAAGUUUAUUUGGUUUACUUAAUUAACUUAUCUGUUUUUGCUUUUCUGUGCCUAUAACAAUGCAUUUUUAAAAGAAGCAUGCUAUUGGGAACUAAAAGCUUGUUUGAGAUUUAAAAACUUUUGAACAGAAGAAAAAAAAUAAAUAUUUAUGCAGCACUGUGACAUCACAAAUCCAGAGCAUCAAGUGUCUGUCUUAAACUUCACUCAGUUUUAUAUUAAGCUUUACUUUCUGUACCAUAGAAAUGGAAAAUUACAAUAGAAAAAUCCUCAAAUAAGGUCUAAAGUUAAAGCUCCACUGGUUAAAAAGCAAAGUGCUGUAAAGACAUUCCUUAUAUACGCUGUUUAUCACAUGCAUCAAGUUUGUUUCUGACAAAUGUUUAUAUUCUCUUGACAUUUUUAAAGGUUUUUGUUUAAAAUGUGUGUUAUUUAUGAUGUGUUACGGUUCUUGUUUUACUUUUACAAAGGGGUCACAGGGUUAAAUGCAAGAUGAAGCUUUUGUGUUUACAUUUUUCCCAAAAGCUAAAGUGAAAACUGACAGUGGAAUGCAAAAAGCUCCUCUGUAUAAACAUCUUUGACUUCAUUUCACGCUUCAUUUUUUUCAACCCCUAACAAAAUCAUUUUAAAAGAAACAAUAAAGUCUAUGGAAAUAUCCCCACUUCAUUAAAGUGUUUAUAUGAUGAGAUAUUCUUCUUCCGUCUUGGUCAGAAAGGCAGCAGGGUUUUUUUAAGGGACUGUGAUGUCAUUUCCAAUGAUGCUGAGCUGGAUCGAGCGCAGACAGAGAGGAACACAGCGGGCUGCUGGGAGGAUGUGAUGCACAACAGGACUGCAGACGAGAGACAUUUCAUCUCGAAGAGGUCAAUGAGCUCUUUACUCCAUCCAGUAAGCUGGGACACAAUUCACGUUGGAAAUCUGGACAUUUCGUCGAUUUUGUGUCCAACAAAGAACCGCUUUGCCUGCUAUCCUGGUGGACGGACUUCCACGCUCUGGUUCAACCACCAAGAGGAGGCUCUUCUCUGAUGUUGUUUCUCUUUCUUUUUGACAAAUGUGUCCCAUUUAAAACGUUUCAUGCCAUGUCUUGCAGCUGUAAGGAAUGAGGAGUCUAGUUUGUUAAUAUUUUCAUCUCCUGGUUACCCAGCACUCUUUUUUACAAGUGGGGUUCUAUUUUUCUACUCACUGAUUUCUGUUAUUUACAGGAGAAAGAAAUGUGAUUUAUACAAUAAUAAUAGUGAUUAGGCCUAUUUUCAUGAAAAUUCUUGAUCUUUAAAGCUACAAAUAUGAAUAAUUUUGUCUAUACGUAUUAGAAAUUUCACGAUAAAUAAUGCAUCUUUGCUUCAUGAGGAUGUGUUAACAUCUCUGCGUGGACUACAUACCUUCACUUUCUGCGUGCACACACACCAUGGGUUGUGUUGCAUGCACCCAGCUGGUUGACAUGUGGUCAGUGAGGGCCAGAAGGACAGGUCGAAGGGCCAUGGAGCUGGCCACCUACCCCCACAUGCUGCAGGGGGGCUACCACAGAGUGACGGGGCUGCACUACAUGUCCUCCUUCUCUGACGCCGAGGACUGCUGCGACGACACCAGCUCGGGAAGCUCGCUGACGCUGGAUUGGGAGGGUCAAGGUCCUGAUGGCUGACGGUCAUGUGGGGCAUGGCGAAUCCUGAAAGUGUUUGAGGAAAUCACACACGUUUGGUAAACAAGCCCUUACCAUUAAAUUUAAAAGCUAUAUAUCAUAUGUGUGUAUUUAUAUACUACAACAUUUCAGGACUAAAGAUAUUAAAACACUUCCAAAUGCAUCAAAUAUUGUGAAAGAUGAAGGAAAUAUUUUUAAUUCAGACUUUUAUUUUGAAAAACGUCCCAUUUAAAUGUGUGGACUUUUUUUUAUUUCAAGGUAAAGCUUUACUUCAAUCAUUUAUCUUGACUUUUUGAUUACUUUGGGGAUUACUGGUUAAAUUUAGGUAAAAAAAACAUAAUUACACGUUUUAAAUCCUGUUGCUUCAUUGUGUAAAAUCAAAACAGUGCAAUAUUUGCUCUUGAAAUAUGAUGACUAAUUCCAGUUUGUGUUUGAAUCCAGCUUUGUGUUUUCAUAGCCUCUAGCUGAGUUGAAUGAUGGCAGAUUGAGUAACUGUACUAGAACAACGAAUCACAGCUUCUCCGGUGGCUGCAGUGGAAAUUUUAAUGUUUUGAAAUAAACUUGUGACCCAUAUUA